Molecule: ribosomal RNA, 429 nt
Filed under: uncultured bacterium
Lineage: Bacteria
Description: bacterial SSU rRNA
Rfam family: Bacterial small subunit ribosomal RNA
Source: RNAcentral
UGAGGAAUCUUGCGCAAUGGGCGAAAGCCUGACGCAGCGACGCCGCGUGGAGGAUGAAGGUCUUCGGAUUGUAAACUUCUGUUAAGUGGGAAGAAAGACGCAGGUUUAAUAGACCUGCGGGAUGACGGUACCAUUAAAGAAAGCACCGGCUAAACUCGUGCCAGCAGCCGCGGUAAUACGAGUGGUGCAAGCGUUAUUCGGAAUGAUUGGGCGUAAAGGGUGCGCAGACGGUAUGCUAAGUCAACUGUUAAAUUUCCCGGCCUAACUGGGAGCCUGCAGUAGAUACUGGUAUGCUUGAGGGCGGAAGAGAGGAGUGGAAUUCUCGGAGUAGCGGUAAAAUGCGUAGAUCUCGAGAGGAACACCAAUGGCGAAGGCAGCUCCUUGGUCCGUACCUGACGUUCAUGCACGAAAGCGUGGGUAGCAAACAGG